AAGCAGCUAUGGAGACUGUCAUCCAGAUCAGUGGAAGCCCCUGCAACUUUAUUCACUCCAUGCAUACUUAUCAUGAGCACUGAUAGGAGGUUUCUCCUAACAACUCAUCCAUUACUUGAAUGAGUAUAUAGAGAGCUCUAUCAAGCUUGUGAAAGAUGCAAAAUAGCACGAGCUCAAGGUCGGGAUGCUCAAGGGUGUAAAGGACAAGGCUACAAUGGAUGCUAGAGAGGACUCCAUGAGAGUUGAUGCC
RNAcentral lists this long non-coding RNA (250 nucleotides) under Elaeis guineensis (African oil palm). RNAcentral describes it as "long non-coding RNA (EGUI_LNC057405)". Lineage: Eukaryota; Viridiplantae; Streptophyta; Magnoliopsida; Arecales; Arecaceae. The record is from RNAcentral.